RNAcentral lists this long non-coding RNA (11790 nucleotides) under Equus asinus (donkey). Its description in RNAcentral is "lncRNA (ENSEASG00005024900.1)". The record is from RNAcentral. Lineage: Eukaryota; Metazoa; Chordata; Mammalia; Perissodactyla; Equidae.
CCCUCUUCAUCUCAAAUUCAGAAAGCGCCCGUCAUUUCUCGUUAGGGAGGCUGGAUAAUUUCGGAAAUUGAUGGAUGCUUAUAGCAUACACAAGAAGAGCAUUUUUGCAACAACAGAACCUUUUAUCUGGCUUACAGGCAGCUAAAAACAUCUCCAACCCAUGCUUUUUAGCUGUCUUUACUGAGACUAAUGUUCACAAACAUCAUUUUGAAAGAGGGCUGCAGUAUGCCAAAGUGGGAAGAGCGCAUCUCAGGAUGCAGACGCACUCGGGGGCUGGGUGUCCCCGGGGAGGUCAUUUCUCCCCUCUGAGCCUCAAUUUCUUUAUCCGCCAUGUGGGCUUAUGUGAGCAAAGGAGGCUGGCCCAGAUGAGCCGCUGGUGCUUGAAGGCUCUUAGGCUGAACCCAGAAUUUCAAGAGCGUGUUCUUGUGCAGGCGCUAGGUCCAAGUGGCUUACUGUGGGGAUCUGGGGUCUCAGAGGACUGACCCCACAAAAUGUGUCCCCUCUCCCCAGCCUGGGCAGGCAAGGCUGGGCCUGCAGACUCCUCACCAGCCCUUCAAGCUCAGGACCCCAAGCCAAAUUCCUUAUCACCUCCCCUGCCCCCACCUUUUCCACUCUCCCCCCAUGCGCGUCCUCCCACCGCCCGGCUCACUGCGCACAGCCCCGGGGACUUCUUGACGAUUCUCAAUCCUGACAGGCAGUUGGAGACUCAGCGCCUUGCAGUUGACCUCUGCCCAGAAUGCUCUUGCCCCAGAUCCUCACGUGGCCCCCACCUGGCUCCUCUGGUCCUGCUCAGAUGUCUCCCAUGGAGGAGGCCUUCUCUGACCCUCGGCCUAAUGAGCACCCGGUCCCUCCACGUCUCCUCCGUCUGCUUUGUGGUCCUUCACAGUGCUUAUCACUAGCCAGCCCUGGUGUCUGGUGGUUAAGAGCCAGUGCUCUCACUGCCGGGGCCCGGGUUCGUUUCCUGGUCAGGGAACCACAUCACCCGCCUGUUGGGUGUCAUACUGUGGCAGCUGCAUGUUGCUGUGAUGCUGAAAGCUAUGUCACUGGUAUUUCAGAUACCAGCAGGGUCACCCGUGAUGGACAGGUUUCGGCGGAGCUUCCAGACUAAGACAGACUGGGAAGAAGGACCCGGCCACCCACUUCUGAAAAAAUUGGCCAUGAUAACGCUGUGAAUAGCAGCAGAGCAUCAUCUGAAACAGUGCCAGAGGAUGAGAGGAUGGCGCAAAAAGAUGGGCAGGCGUCUGCUCUGCUCUGCUCUACACGGGGUCGCUAGGAGUUGGAAUCGACUCAACGGCACUAAGCACAAACUCCUCACUACCUGCCGUGUGCAGUCUGACUGUCCGCGCCGGAAUAUCAGCUUCCUACAGUCUCAUGUUCAUUGCCGUACCCCCAGCACCUAGAACCUGGCACCUAGCAUGUAGUCGGUGCUCUAAAAGGUAUUUGUUGGAAAGCAAAUAUGCAGAGUAGGGAGAAGGCUCCCCCACUGCCACCCUCUGGCCGUGUGCGCUUUGAGAUAGCCACCCAGCCCACAGGAUGGUACGGCUGGUGGAGUUCUUGGAGACUCAGUUGAACAAAGUGGAGCCUGAGGUCUGUUGGAGAAGGGAGCUCAUUCGCUCAGCUCCAGGAGGCCACAGAUCGAGUUGUGCUGGGCCAUUUUGCUGAUAUCAAGUACCUGUGGCUUCGUCACCUGCACAGGCCAACCCAGCCCACACCAGGUCUCCAGCCAUUGCCUCAGCUGAACUCCCGUCCCUGAGACAAGAUGCUAAAGGAUGCCACUUCUGGUCUCAGACCAGGAGUCCCCUUCUUCCUCCAGAGGGGAACAGGAUGGAGAGGACCUGAGAGUGUGGAGUCUGUGAGGCUGGGUAUUUUACACACAUGCCUUUUCUCCUGUCGUGUCCGCCACAGCCCAGUGGCAUAGGAGCAAUUGUCCUUAUUUUAUGAAUGAGCAGAACGAGGCCCUGAGAAGUGAUGCUUGCCCAGGUCCUGCUAAGCCAGGAAGUGGCCCAGCAAAGCACUUCUCUGUUUCCUCUUCUGUUAAAAGCCAUCUGGGGUAGGGUUGCAGCCAGGGAGCUCCCUGCCCCAGAGGGAGAGCUGUCAGCCAGUGACGAGCUCAUCUCCUCCUCCCUCCCACACCACCCGCCAGUGUCACAUGGCGCCGGGAGGGAGCGGAGUCUGCGGGGGCGCCUCUCCUGGGAGGCUGUGCAGGGAGGCCUGGGAGCUGCACCCUGUGGAGGCUGGGGGGGGGGGGGGCACGGGAAGGGGAUGUGCACACGUUCAGGUGCCCACACGUGCUCUCUCGCUCUUUCUCUGCAGCUCCUCUGGAGGCCUGUCAGCCUGCUGGGGGGACUCGCACAGUGGAAGUCUCAAGUAUCAGAAUGUCAGGGAACCUUGGAGACCAGUGUGGCCAGAACCUCUCCCUUGUCAGUAAAAUCUAGAGCCUUGAAUGUAAGAAUUAGGGUGCAUGUGGGAUGAAGUCAGGGUCUUUUCAAGAACACACAGUGAGCAUAUCCAUUAAAUGCAAGGGCUCCAGUGUCAGACCACCAGGCUUAGAAUCUGGGCUCUUUCCCAGCUGGUUGACUGUAGACAAGUUCCUUGACCUCUCUGAGCCUCCAUUUCCUCAUCUACUUUAAGACAGUAUUUACUGAGCUCUUGCUUAGGGACAGGUAUGGUUCUAAGCUCUGUUCCUGUAUUUACUCCUCAAAACAACCCUAUGAAGCAAAUAGCUUUGUCAUCUAAUUUAGAUCUGAGGAAACUGAGGCACCGAGUGGUUAGGUCAUUGUCCAAGGCCACACAGCUGGGAAGCAAUGGAGCCAGGAUUUGAUCCCAGACAAUGAGGCUCUAGAGUUCCUGAGCUCAAUCACUAUUCCAUCUACCGUCUACUAAGAAUUAAAUGAAGUAAGGUGUACUAAGCACCGAGCACUUACAGGUGCUGGCUCGAAGUCCGCACUCAAUUAGUGAUUAUUAUCAUUAGCAACUAAGUCAUGGGCCUUUUGAGAAUCUAAUGAAAGUCACAGGCCUUCUUGGUGAAGACUGCACGUGCACACACAAACACCGCCUGUGGUUUCGGGGGCUCCUGCUCCUGAAGUCCAGCCACGAACCCGCCUUGGGACCUCUGCACGAGCCCAGCCCUGUUAUUGCACAGAAGCAAGGGAGAGGAGAGGGCGUGGUGAGCGUGUUCACAUCACAUAUUUCACUUGCUCCUCCGAGGCGGGUGCUGCUAGCCCGUUGGGCAGAUGAGAAAACUGAGGGAAAUGUCGAGAUCUCACAGCAAGCUGGCAGCAGACGUGACUCUCCUCUUCUUGCGGGGCUGCACCCUUCCCCCUGGCUGGGUUGCCUGCCCUGAAGCAGAGGUGAGGAACGGAGUCCCCGGGGCUGUGCCCUGAGGCGGUACACACUCAGUGAAGGAUAUUUGUGGAGCAAGCCAGUGAAAUGGGGUCAUCCGCGGGUUCACACUGGGCCAAGCCAUGUCCAAGGCUGGAUCUCAGAGGUUCACCUGGCCCAGCUCAUCUCCCAGUCCUGCGUGGCUCUUCAUGAGAAGGAGACAGAGGAAGAAAGGAAGGAAGUCAGCAGCCACUCCCACAGCCCCCUCUUGCACAGGCAAGGAAACUGAGGCCCGAGGUUGACUGACACACACAGUCACACACCGGGGCAGCAAGGUCUGGCCAUCGGGUCUCAGGCGGCGGUGGUCAGAAGGAAGGAGGACGGAACUCGGAGUCAGAACACUUAGGUCCAAAUCCUGUCCUUCGUUACUGCUGUGACUUCAGGCAAAUUGCAUGGCCAGUUUCCACAUCUGCAAAAUGAUGACAGCAUCUAUCUUGUAAAGCUGCUCUUGGAAUGAAACAAUUUGACAGUUGUCUAAUUGAGGCCAUCCAGCAUGUUCCCUCAUCUGUCAAACGACGACAGGUUGUUGUGAGGAUUAAGUGAGAACGUAGGUAGAGUGUCUGGCAUAAAACAAGCGUCCAGUAAGUGGCAGCUAUUACUGUAGGUGCUAUAGUUACAACGCUGAGUCCCACAGGAUAUGCCUCCAUGAACGUUGCAUGAAGGGGUAGAUGGACCAAGAGACAGGCUGACAGGUUGGUUGGCAGAGCAGUGGGAGUGGAGUGGGGAGAUGGAUGGAUGGGAGGAAGGUGAGGGAAUGGACGGAAGGGCAGGGAAGUUGGUAAGGGGAUAGGUGGAUGAUGGAUAUGUAGACCAACGCACAGGCAGAGAGAGAGGUUUUUGGGCAAACAAUAGGUGUAAGAGAAAGAGCAUAGGAUGGAUGAAUGGAUGGAUAGAUGGAUGGAUGGAUGGAUGGGUCGGAUGGAUGAGAUGAUGGACCAGUAACAAUCAGACAGACUGGUGGCUGUUCAGAUCAGUGGAUGGAUAGAUGGAUGGAUGGAUGGAUGGAUGGAUGGAAGGCUAGAUAUGUGGGUGGGGCAAUUGGAUAGGUGGGUGUAUGGAUGAAUGCACGGACCAAUGGGCAAGAAAAUAGAGAGAUGAAUGAAUGGAAGAUCAGAGAGUGGAUGAAUGGCUGGUGUUCCCUCCCCUUGAACUGCAGCUGAGGAGCUGGCAGUGGCAGCUACAGAACCACCAUGAACAUCCACGGGGUGGGGAGAGAGGUCAGGAGCUUAUUGCUCCAACAGGGUGACCCCAGAAGUGGGCAGUGAGUGGCUGCUUAUUGUGUUUCGAUGUCUGUGCUUGGAAUAGAAGCCCUGGGAGCAGGGUGACUGGGAUGAGGAGCUGCACAGGGUCCCCAUCCUCACAUGCACACGGACUCCUCAAUGCCGGUGCAGGCGGGAGGCUGGCCCCAGGAGGGCGCAGCUUCUGCCAGAGAUGGCAGCCUAGAAGGGACCCUUAGCUGGCGAGGCCUUUGGCAAAGGCAAACCAGAGUGUGUCCCUGGAGACUCCUUGGAUCUGGGCCAGAAGAACAAAACGUCCCGUUCACCGAGGGCUCUGCAGCGGGAGGGGCCCUGCUCCAGGAGGCAGGAGCCUUGGGCGUCACAGCUGGCACAGCCGCGGAUGUGCUGAGAGGCCCCGGACAAGCCCCUUCCCCUCCGCGUCCCAGCCUCCUUUCUUCAUCUGUAAUUGGAGCCAAAUGGCCUCCAAGCUCCCUCUGAGCGCUGACACUUUAGGACCACCUGAUUCUCAGGGUUCUGGAGCAUCGCAGGGAGGGGGAGGGGCCGUGGGCGGGUCCUGGGCGGAGGAGGGUGGUUAGCUAGCGGGUGGCCAUUCCACUCCUCAGACAGUGACCCAGGGUCUAAGGGCCCAUUGCAGGCUUUGAGCGUUUAGUGGACAAUGAGGACACCUUGCGAUGGCUCCCCACUUGGCUCAAGGAAAGCUGACGUCCACCCAAUGGCCACCGUGGUCUGUGACUCUGCCCCACCCCCCACCUCUCUGGUUUCUCCUCCUGCCACUGCCCUGUCUCUAACCCCCUAGGACCACACUGGCCUCUUCAGUGUUGCUUGAAUAUGCCAGGCAGCCCCCUCCUUGCUCUCGUGGUCACUCCUUCACCUCCCGCAGGACCUGUGUGUUUAUUGGCGUCUUCCCCCAGCAGUAGUAUUUGCGGUUAUCCAAUCGGGUAGUGUGAUGGUGAUGAGGGUGAGCGAAGAUGGAGCGCUCACCGCGUGCCAGGCGCGGGGCUCACGCACUCCCUGAUUCUGCAGGCGCCCCAGUGAGGUGGAUACUAUUAUUAUGUCCUAGUUCACAGAGGAGAGUCGAGGCUCAGAGAGGGAGAUUACUCAAGGCCCCACAGCAAGCCUGGGACCGAAUUGCCAGAGACGAGUCCAGGGUCAUCGCGAGAGCUCACGGAGUUAGCAGAGUCCCAGUGCUGCCACCACAGGACCUUGACUUGGGGAGAGUCCCUUUCUCUCUCCGAGCCUCAGUUUCUCCAUCUGUAAAAUGGGACAGCAGCAGCCUCGCCGUUACAGGGCUGUUGUGAGGUCUGAGGGUGCCAGUGGGUAUGAAUGCUUUAUGUAAGAACUGUGCCUUCUUGGCUGUGGGCCUGUGUCGCUGGGUGUUAAGGCACCACUGGAACCCCCACAUGCCGGGGGCAGGGAGACCUAUGCUCCCCUAGACAAGCCCAGGGCCCUGAGCUCGGUUUAGGAUAAUCCAGGAUAAUGUCACUAACUGGCUUAGGAUCGGGGAUCAAGUCCCUCCAUUCUAGGCCGCUCUUUCCUCCACCCCACUGGACACUGCCUCCAGGCGACUUCUCACAGCCUUGGGGACAGGGCUGGCCCUAAGCGGCAAGGCGGGCGGGGACAGGAAGGCCUCAGAGCUUUCCCAGGCUGGAGGCCACUAAGGAGCUGCUCUCGAAUUCCUGCACCACAGCUGGGCCGCUCCUGAUGUGGUUUUCCCAGACCCCGCUGGCCCCUGUCUGCUGGGGAUACACGGGGAGGAGCGGCGCUCCAGAUGGGGAGGGGAGGGCCUUGCCGAGAGGACUCCCUGGGGAUUCAGGGCCUGCACAUCCCCUGUCACUUAGGGACUCGAGUGCAACUCUCGGACAACUCCAGGCCUCAGUUUCCUCACUCGGAAAAUGGGUUUGGACUAGACGAUUUCGCCCAGGCUGCCCAGGGCUGGAGUCCAGAAGAGCAGAGCAAGGACCCCCAGGACGUGCCAGGAGACAGCACCCUCCCGCCACUCAUCUCGGUGGGACGGGGCAAGUUGACCCCUAACUCUGGCCUCAGGCUCCACGUCGUCGGUAAAAUGGGCUGGUUGAGCUGGAAGAUCCCGGGACUUAUAGCUGGAAGAGGAAAGAGCAUUUAGUGAGCUCCAACUGUAUGCCGGGGGCUUUUCAGACAUUAUCUCAUUUGUCUGUUUCUUAGUUUCCUGUGGCUGCUGUAAAAAAUGGCCCAGAGCCUCAUAGCUUAAACAACAUGCUUUUAUUACCUUACAGUUCUGGAGGUCCAAAGUCCGAGGUCUGUGUCACUGGGUGAAAGGUGUCAGCCGGGCUCUUCCUUCUGGGGGUUCUAGGGGAAAUUCCCUUCCCGGCUUUUCUAGAAUGGGUGCUGCCUUCAUUCCCACAUCACGUGGCCUUUCCUCCCUCUGCUGUCCCUUCUCUUCUUCCCACUCUGACGCUCCCACCUCCCUCUGAGAAGGAUCCUUGCAAUGACAUUAGGCCCACCUGGAUAAUCGGGGAUAAUGUUCCCAUCUCAAGAUCCUUCACUUCUUCCCAUCUGCAGAAUCCCUUUGCCAUCGGGAGGUGACAUUCACAGGGGUUCCCGGGAUUAGGGCGUGGAUCUCUCUGGAGGGUCAGUAUUCAGUUUAUACAUCUGUCAACACGAAUCUGUCUUGGGGCUCAGUUUCAAAUCCCAGCUUCUACUGCUCCGUAGCUGUGUGAGCCUGGGCAGGGACCCACCUUCUCUGGGCCUGUUUUCUCACCUGUAAAAUAGAGAUAAUGACAGGAUUAUCAGCAAUAAUGCAGGGGAAGCUCUGACCACAGGGCCUGCUACUGUUGUUGAGUGAAUGUAUAUAGUAAUCACACAGUAAUAAUCACAAUGGCUCUCGUUUAUUGAGGACUGACUUUGUGCCCGACGCUAAACUGAGGAAUGAAUUUAAUAGGUAAGCUAAAUAGAUAAGAUCCAGGCCUUCCUGGAACUUAGAUAGAACCCAGAAGACAGACUUAGAACAAACCAUCACAAACAUUACCAGGGAGGCCCAAGGGCGCACAGCUGGGAAGAGGAGAGGUGGACCGCAUUCACACCAAGUCUGUCGGAUUCCCAAGCCCUUAUUUCUCCACGACGCUCCCAGUCUCUCAAGGUCCGUUGGGGCCAACAGAGAACCAGAGAUGAGAAGGGACUUGCCAAAUUCAGAUCCAGUUCUCUGGGCUUCCUGCCCGAGGUUCUCCCCAGGGGAGACUCUGACAUGUAAAGUAGUAAUGGCUGGUGACAGACGUGCUCACAGAGGCUCGCUCUGGGCCAGAAGGCGGGAUGGAUAUUUUACACGACCGAUGUCAUUUGGUCUCCAGGAUGCCCCAGGAGAAAAGACACGUUGUCCUGUUUCCCAGAUGAAGAACCUCAAGUCGCAGGUCCUGUGACAUGCCCAGUGACACCCAGCGAGUUAAUUGCCAAGCAGAGACCCAGGACACUCACCAAGAGCAGGGCCCGGAGUAGAACUUCAAGUUCAAGUUCGCUUGACCCUAAAGCCCGUCCCUAACCCCAGCACAGCCUGCCUCUGCCAGCUGGCCCGUCUCAGUGGGAGGAGGUACCUGGCUGUGGUCCUGCAGUAACCCAGGGUGGAACUUGACAGCCUUCAGGGAGAUGGGUGGCCCGUUGGCACCACCUAGUGGCCUUAAGGAGACAUGCCGCUUCCCCCUGAGCCUCAAGGACCCAGAGGCGCCCGAGAGCUAUUAACAGAACUUCCUCACCCCCCAUCCAGCUGGAUCCUUGUAGCAAACCGACGAGGCUGAGUAAAAGUGAUGAAAAUGACCAUGCUCAUCUCGUUGUUGGGGAAACUGAGGCCCAGACGGGGGAACGACACACCAGCCAGUCAGGGGCAGACCCAGCGGCCUGGAGAGACUGGCAGGGAGGUGGGGCUUGUCCGGCACCUGCCCAACCUCUGGGACGGCAGAACAAGGGGACGCUUCGUGGUGCCUCAGUGGAGGGUGCAGACACUGAGGCCCGGAGGGGACAGGGGCCUGCCCAGGCUCCCACCAAAAGCCAGAGGCCAGGCCGGGACCCCAGGCGGCCGGUCCCCCUGCCCCUGCCCGAGGCAGAGACAGGGGCUCCAGGCCCGUUUGUGGGAAGACCACGGCAGACCAGAGCGUCAGGAUGGAUGUGAUGUGCUCCCCCGGGUGAGGCCUCGGAGGGCCCAGAGCCAGGGCUAGGAGGAAGGUGGGGCUGGUGGGAGCUGACUAUGGGCUGAUUCCUGAGGACGGGGGAGGCGGCUGGUAGGAGAAAUGGACUGUCCUGGUGGAAGUGGUGACGGAGGCUCCUCCCACAGAGACAUCCCAUGAUUCUCAGGGACAGCCAUGGCUGGGGAAAUCCCAUGAUUCUCAGGGACACUCAUGGCUGGGGGAAUCCCGUGAUUCUUAGGACAUAGUCCUUGCCCUCCAGGAGCUUCCUGUCUCCUUUAUUCGGUCUAGCAUCACUGAGCACCUACUCUGAGCCGCCCCAGGUGGGGUGCUAGGGACCCACAGAGCAACCUGGCCCUUCCUGCUGUGCAGGAUCCCACAGCCCAUGGAGCAGACACAUAGAUAACAGAGCUCGAGAACUGAGCAAGAUGAGUCAGUGAGGCCCCGGGGCUAUGGACCUUGCAGCCAGGCACACCUAACUGAUGGUACUAACAAAAACAGUGCCAGCAUUUAUUGAGUGCCUGCUGGUGCCAGGCACUGGUGUAAGCAUGUUCCAUGUAUUAGCUGAUUUGGUGAGAUCCUGAUGCUUACUAGCUGUGUGACUUUGGGCAAAUUACUUCACCUCUCUGAUCUUUGAGAUCCUCAUCUACAAGAUGAGAGCCAUAAUAUCUACCUUACUAGGUUCUUGUGGGGUUUAAAUGUCACGGGGUGUGUGUCUGUGUGUGUGUGGUGCCUGGAAUACAGCAGGUAUUCCAUAAACGGUUGCCACCAUCAAUGUAAUGAGUGCUCUGGUGGAGCGGUGCUGAAGAGGCCUCAUACAACCCCAUGCAUCUGCUGAGUGUUAUCUUAGGUUGGGGAUAGUUGUGAUGGAGGUCAGAGGUCAGGGAGGUCAGAGGUCGGGGAAAGCAGGUUAGGACAGAUCCCUGGACAGGAGGGGAGCCCUGCCAGGGCCUGAGAAGAGGGCUGCCCUGCCCUCUCCUCCUGCUGCUUCUCCUCCUUGGCUCCCUCUGCCCUCCCGGCCCCCCCAUUCCCACACCCCCGCUCUGGGCCAGGCCCCAGUAUCUCUCCCACCUGCUCCCUGUUUCCUCUGCCUCACCACCCACGCCUCCUCCUGGCAGCCAGAGGGAGCUUCUGGAACGGCAAACCCGUCCCUGCCUCCCUCCUGCUGGUCGAUCCCGCCCCCGGGAAAGCCCAUCCGACUGUGAUGUUCAAGGCCCCUCCCUCCGCACCAGCCAUUUCCCUCUAUCCUCCCUGUGUCCACGGAGACCCUGAGGUUCAGUGGUCUGAAGCCACAGCGAGCUGCCCUCCGGUCCCUAAGAGACCCUGCAGGCUCCCCCCGGGGGGUGUCCCAGGCCUUUGUCCCCCGCCUCACCUUCCAGACUCCUGUGUUUCUCCUGCAGGGGGCCUUCCACGCACGCCCCCAUAUUUUCAGAGAGAGCACCCCCACGCCAGCUUUACUCCCACCCCCGGGCCACAGGGUCCCCCACACUGGCUCCUUGGUCCCUCUCCCUUCCUAGAGGAUUACGUUAAAGGAAGCGAGACUGUCAUCAGGCAAUGCUUAGGAUGGCGGCCCAGUCAACAUCAGAGUGUCGAGUGAGGAUCCCGACCCUCACGUCCCCAGCACUCACUCGGCCCCAGGCCCUGUGCUAGGGGCUUCCCUUGUAGAAACGCCUAUAGGAAGUGGGAACGGUUAUUAUCCCCCUUUUAUAGACGGGGAAACUGAGUCAAAGAGGGACGCACGCAAGCGAGCGUUAGAGCCAGGCAGGCCGGCCCUCUCAUGGCACAGGCGCUGUUCCCUCUGCCUGGGACUGCCUCCCCCGACCCUUCCAUGGCGGGCUGGGUCCACCCUCAGGCUCAAACCCACCCCAACCCUCCUGAAGAGGCCUUCCCUCUGACCACUGUCACAUGCCACCCUGUUCAUCUUCACAGGAUGCGUCUCCAGCUGUUUCUUUGGGUUCGCCAUGCUGGUUUUUGCCAUUUACACACACAGUCACGCUCAGCCAUGACAUCAACAACGGUGGUCUUGCUUCCUGUCUGGCCCCAAGGCAUGGCACAGUGCGGCCAGCCUCCGAGAUGGCUCCCCAGAGAUCCUGGCGUCCACACCUUUGUGUCAUCCCCUCCCACAGCCAGCAGCUCGGACUUGUGUCACCAACAGGAUACUGCGUAGGUGACAGAGUGUGACUUCCGAGCUUAGGUCAUAGGAGACAUCGCAGCUGCCGCCUUGUUCUCGCGGGUCGCUCAGUCUGGGGAAGCCAGCCGCCGUGUGGUGAGGACAUCCAAGCGGCCCUGUGGAGAGGCCCAUGUGGCCAGGAAGUGAGGCCUCUGCCAACAGCCAGUGUGAGCCUGCCACCAGGGGAGGAAGCCACCUUGGAAGAGGGUCCUCCAGCCCCAGUCCAGCCUUUGGAUGCCUGUGGCCCGGUCGACAGCCUGACACAGCCUCACGGGAAACCUGAGCUGGAACCACACAGCUCCCAAGCUCCUGACCCACAGAAACAAUGUGUAUGGAUGGCCGGCAAAUGAUGACACCACCUCCCACUCGCCGGGCCCUUCCUCUGUCUGGGGCACUGAAUUAAGUGGCUCACCUGUCUUGGUUCAUAGUCAAUCGUCACAGCAACCUAUGAGCCAGCCAUCACCCCACGCCCAUUUUAUGGAUGAAGAACCAGGUACAGUGAGGUUGAAUAACUCACCCAGCAUCACACCGGCAGAGCCCAGACUCGCUCCCUGGCAGGUGGGGGCCGUAGGAUUCACUGCUGCACCACACGGUGGCUGCUGUCCCAUCCCAGUCCUCCUUGCCAACCCCCUGGGGCUUGGAGGGGUCCCUCCCACAGGUUGUGUGGCUCUGCAGAGGCUGACCUUGGAGGUGAGUGGACACGGAGGUGGAGCUGGGAAAUGCCAAGCUCGUGACCCGGAGCAACUCCUCUCAUCCGGCUUCUGGGAGCUCUGUCCUCUCCCCACCUGUGGACGCCAGUUGGACGGGAUGGGGGCAGGGCCGCUUCUGUUGAGUCACUCGCAGUGGAUCCGAG